AUGCAGUCGAGCGAAUGGAUUAAGAGCUUGCUCUUAUGAAGUUAGCGGCGGCACGGGUGAGUAACACGUGGGUAACCUGCCCAUAAGACUGGGAUAACUCCGGGAAACCGGGGCUAAUACCGGAUAACAUUUUGAACCGCAUGGUUCGAAAUUGAAAGGCGGCUUCGGCUGUCACUUAUGGAUGGACCCGCGUCGCAUUAGCUAGUUGGUGAGGUAACGGCUCACCAAGGCAACGAUGCGUAGCCGACCUGAGAGGGUGAUCGGCCACACUGGGACUGAGACACGGCCCAGACUCCUACGGGAGGCAGCAGUAGGGAAUCUUCCGCAAUGGACGAAAGUCUGACGGAGCAACGCCGCGUGAGUGAUGAAGGCUUUCGGGUCGUAAAACUCUGUUGUUAGGGAAGAACAAGUGCUAGUUGAAUAAGCUGGCACCUUGACGGUACCUAACCAGAAAGCCACGGCUAACUACGUGCCAGCAGCCGCGGUAAUACGUAGGUGGCAAGCGUUAUCCGGAAUUAUUGGGCGUAAAGCGCGCGCAGGUGGUUUCUUAAGUCUGAUGUGAAAGCCCACGGCUCAACCGUGGAGGGUCAUUGGAAACUGGGAGACUUGAGUGCAGAAGAGGAAAGUGGAAUUCCAUGUGUAGCGGUGAAAUGCGUAGAGAUAUGGAGGAACACCAGUGGCGAAGGCGACUUUCUGGUCUGUAACUGACACUGAGGCGCGAAAGCGUGGGGAGCAAACAGGAUUAGAUACCCUGGUAGUCCACGCCGUAAACGAUGAGUGCUAAGUGUUAGAGGGUUUCCGCCCUUUAGUGCUGAAGUUAACGCAUUAAGCACUCCGCCUGGGGAGUACGGCCGCAAGGCUGAAACUCAAAGGAAUUGACGGGGGGCCCGCACAAGCGGUGGAGCAUGUGGGUUUAAUUCGAAGCAACGCGAAGAAACCUUACCAGGUCUUGACAUCCUCUGACAACCCUAGAGAUAGGGGCUU
Molecule: ribosomal RNA, 984 nt
Filed under: Bacillus sp. (in: firmicutes)
Lineage: Bacteria; Bacillati; Bacillota; Bacilli; Caryophanales; Bacillaceae
Description: bacterial SSU rRNA
Rfam family: Bacterial small subunit ribosomal RNA
Source: RNAcentral